RNAcentral lists this non-coding RNA (30 nucleotides) under Mus musculus (house mouse). Lineage: Eukaryota; Metazoa; Chordata; Mammalia; Rodentia; Muridae. The record is from RNAcentral.
UAGGCUAUCUAAGAUGAUCAUCUUACCUGC